Molecule: ribosomal RNA, 497 nt
Filed under: uncultured bacterium
Lineage: Bacteria
Description: partial 16S ribosomal RNA
Rfam family: Bacterial small subunit ribosomal RNA
Source: RNAcentral
GAUGAACGCUGGCGGCGUGCCUAAUACAUGCAAGUCGAGCGAACGGACGAGAAGCUUGCUUCUCUGAUGUUAGCGGCGGACGGGUGAGUAACACGUGGAUAACCUACCUAUAAGACUGGGAUAACUACGGGAAACCGUAGCUAAUACCGGAUAAUAUUUUGAACCGCAUGGGUCAAAAGUGAAAGACGGUCUUGCUGUCACUUAUAGAUGGAUCCGCGCUGCAUUAGCUAGUUGGUAAGGUAACGGCUUACCAAGGCAAGGAUGCAUAGACGACCUGAGAGGGUGGUCGCCCACCUUGGAACUGAGACACGGCCCAGACUCCUACGGUAGGACGCAGUAGGGAAUCUUCCGCAAUGGGCGAGAGCCUGACACAGCAACGCCGCGUGAGUGAUGAAGGUCUUCUGAUCGGAAAGCUCUGUUAUUAGUGGAGAACAUAUGUGUAAGUAACUGUGCACAUCUUGACGGUACCUGAUCAGAAAGCCCCGGCUAACUACGUG